AUUGAACGCUGGCGGCAGGCCUAACACAUGCAAGUCGAGCGCGCGGCGGACGGGUGAGUAUUGUAUGUGGGUCUGCCCGAUAGAGGGGGAGAAAUACUGGAAACGGUAGCUAAUACCGCAUCCUAUCUGAUGAACCCAGAUGGGAUUUGCUAGUAGGUGAGGUAAUGGCUCACCUAGGCGACGAGCCCUAGCUGGUAGGAGAGGAUGAUCAGCCACACUGGGACUGAGACACGGCCCAGACUCCUACGGGAGGCAGCAGUGGGGAAUAUUGCACAAUGGGCGCAAGCCUGAUGCAGCCAUGCCGCGUGUAUGAUGAAGGCCUUCGGGUUGUAAAGUACUGUUGGCAGAGAAGCGGUAUCUGCAGAAUAAGCACCGGCUAACUACGUGCCAGCCGCCGCGGUAAUUC
Molecule: ribosomal RNA, 406 nt
Filed under: uncultured bacterium
Lineage: Bacteria
Description: partial 16S ribosomal RNA
Rfam family: Bacterial small subunit ribosomal RNA
Source: RNAcentral